This 443-nucleotide long non-coding RNA is filed under the name Pan troglodytes (chimpanzee). RNAcentral describes it as "long non-coding RNA NONPTRT008409". Lineage: Eukaryota; Metazoa; Chordata; Mammalia; Primates; Hominidae. The record is from RNAcentral.
GAAUGACCCCUUUGCAGAACAGCAGACAACUUCAACAGAUCCAUUUGGAGGGGAUCCUUUCAAAGAAAGUGACCCAUUCCGUGGCUCUGCCACUGACGACUUCUUCAAGAAACAGACAAAGAAUGACCCAUUUACCUCGGAUCCAUUCACGAAAAACCCUUCCUUACCUUCGAAGCUCGACCCCUUUGAAUCCAGUGAUCCCUUUUCAUCCUCCAGUGUCUCCUCAAAAGGAUCAGAUCCCUUUGGAACCUUAGAUCCCUUCGGAAGUGGGUCCUUCAAUAGUGCUGAAGGCUUUGCCGACUUCAGCCAGAUGUCCAAGGAAUGAAGGAAAGCAGAUGAGGUGUGUCCCGUCCCUGACACCUGCGUCCACUCUGUCCCUUCUCGGCAGCCCCCAGGCAGGGGCAGAUGGGCUCUGUCUUCGGGGGGCUGCAGGGGCCUGCUUU